CUAUUUUGCAAAAAUUAUGAUAUCCUAUGACGAUAUUAUGAUAUCCUGCAGUCAAACUAUGACUUUCUACACAUAGGAUAUUGUAAUUUUUUUUUAGAAGUCAUAAAAAGAGAAAGAUAUUUUCGUCAUUAAAAAUUUAUAAAAUUUUUAAAUGAUAAAAUUGUCCCUUUUUUAUGACAUCCUGUGACCAAAUUAUGAGUAGAAAGUC
Molecule: long non-coding RNA, 208 nt
Filed under: Elaeis guineensis (African oil palm)
Lineage: Eukaryota; Viridiplantae; Streptophyta; Magnoliopsida; Arecales; Arecaceae
Description: long non-coding RNA (EGUI_LNC023644)
Source: RNAcentral